RNAcentral lists this small RNA (687 nucleotides) under Malus domestica (apple). RNAcentral's name for it is "sRNA MD03G0185700". Lineage: Eukaryota; Viridiplantae; Streptophyta; Magnoliopsida; Rosales; Rosaceae. The record is from RNAcentral.
AUGAAAAUUGGAGAAAGCAGAAAGAGCAUGCGGCAACGUUUCUGAAGAGGCAGACAUUUUGUUCGUACCAGUGAAGAUUCUCUCAUUUCUCUCCUUCCCUCCGCCGCUCCCUCCUCCAUCUCCGUCACCAAACGCUCGCUUUCUCCCUCGCUCUCUCUCUGUCAAACUACAAGCUAUGGGAGGCAGAGGAGUUAUCGGAGAUCGAUGGUCCAUGAGGAUUCUCUGGGCGUGUGCAAUCGGCAGUGCUGUCAGCCUAUAUAUGGUUGCUGUGGACAGACAACUAAAGAACAGGGAACGAGCGCUGGCUGAAGAGUUAAAAGCCAUGGAGGCAGAAUCAGGCAGCGGUGAGGUUGUUUGACUGUUGAUAAAUUAUAGGCAAUGACUAGCUUAGAGCUUUCCAGAUAUCCCUGAGUUCGCAUCUUUGUCAUUUUGGCCAUUGUGAGGAUCAAGUAAAAUGUUGUCCGCUGACCAGAAUUUCCCGAUUCUGGUUUUUGGAGGAUGAUAAUGUAUAAGUGGUUGCAGAGACUGUUCUCUGCACAGGAAUCUAUGUUUGAGAAUGACGAUGUUUGGUGACUGGUGUCCAGUCUCUGACAUUUCUUUUGCGAUGCAUUCAAACGCGUUAGCAACAUUUUCAUUCCCUCUCAUUAGUUUCAUCCCAAAACUGCUUGAAUAGUCCUUUAUUCAAAA